This 389-nucleotide long non-coding RNA is filed under the name Elaeis guineensis (African oil palm). RNAcentral's name for it is "long non-coding RNA (EGUI_LNC002452)". The record is from RNAcentral. Lineage: Eukaryota; Viridiplantae; Streptophyta; Magnoliopsida; Arecales; Arecaceae.
AUAGAUGGGGAGGAGAAAUUAUUGCAUGCAUCAAGCGCAAAAAAAUUAGGGCAAAUCCUAGAGUAUAUGCACCAUGAAUAGCACGCGAUCAGAAAUUGGUGAAAUAUAAAGGAUAGUGUGGUGUGUUAUUUACUGUGGGAUUUGAUGCAGUGCAAUUGCAUCUGGUUCAUGCAAUACGGAGACGAUGGGGGAGGAGGAAGACAAGGAUCAGACACGAGGAUUGAUGGCGAUGCGUCGCAAAAAGUGCCUUCCACGUGGCCCUCACGUGCUCCCCAGGAGAAAACCGGUGCCGGUUUGCUCUCAUCUAGAUAAAGCUACCAAGUGAGUCUCAAAGACUCAAACUAUGUAGGAUGAGUUGACGUGGUUCGCAGCACAAAUCUGGUGGGGCC